UGCAACGAUACCCAGAAGGUAUCGAUACCAUGUACUCAUUCGAUACUUCACACUAAGGUAUCGAUACUACUUGAAUACUUGUUUCAAAAGUAUCGAUACCAUGAAGUAUCGAAGUAUCGAUACUUCAAAACAAAAUUCGCAGAACAUACAAUAACAUAUUCUAUGAUGAAAGUUAUCCUGCAUUAUUUAUUAUUUAGAUCUAACCUCAUUCCUCAAAUGAUCAAAACAUCGAAAUUCUAAAUAUUAAGUUGCUCAUUGCUCAAAAUCAUCUCUUUUUUACCUUUGGUUAUAAUGUUUUAUGUGGGCAAGAAAGAAAUUCAUUAAAGUAUUAUGAAUUUUAUUGCAAAAAUAUAAAAAACUGAAAAUGUGGAAUAGAAUUUAGAAACAACAGUUUUCCUAAUCGUUUUCCAAGAAGCCUGUUUCUAUUUUGAACUAAAGUGGCACCAGCUUUUGAAAAAAGCCUUUCAGAUGGAACCGAGGUUGCCACCAAACACAUGUAUUUGAUUCCAACCUUAUACAGCUUAGGAAAUACAUUUUUAGUAUCC
Molecule: long non-coding RNA, 545 nt
Organism: Harmonia axyridis
Lineage: Eukaryota; Metazoa; Arthropoda; Insecta; Coleoptera; Coccinellidae
Exons: 2
Source: RefSeq, a predicted model, not a curated record